Molecule: ribosomal RNA, 488 nt
Filed under: uncultured bacterium
Lineage: Bacteria
Description: bacterial SSU rRNA
Rfam family: Bacterial small subunit ribosomal RNA
Source: RNAcentral
AGCGAACGUUUGCGGCGGGCUUAACACGUGCAAGUCGAACGGGCUGUUCCUUCGGGGGCAGUCAGUGGCGCACGGGUGCGUAACACGUAGGUAAUCAACCCUUCAGCUCGGGAUAACACUUCGAAAGGAGUGCUAAUACCGGAUGUGAUGCAGGGCUCUUCGGAGUGCUGCAGGAAAGAUCCGCAAGGGUCACUGAAGGACGAGCCUGCGGCCCAUCAGCUAGUUGGCGAGGUGAUGGCUCACCAAGGCGAAGACGGGUAGCUGGUCUGAGAGGAUGAUCAGUCACACUGGAACUGAGACACGGUCCAGACUCCUACGGGAGGCAGCAGUGGGGAAUAUUGCGCAAUGGGCGAAAGCCUGACGCAGCCACGCCGCGUGAGUGAUGAAGGCCCUCGGGUCGUAAAGCUCUGUGGAGAGGGACGAAAACCCUGGUUUCAAAUAGGCUCCAGGCUUGACGGUACCUCUUUAGCAAGCACCGGCUAACUCCG